Long non-coding RNA from Gavialis gangeticus (Gharial), 509 nucleotides. RefSeq lists it as uncharacterized. Lineage: Eukaryota; Metazoa; Chordata; Crocodylia; Gavialidae. The transcript is spliced from 2 exons. The record is from RefSeq and is a predicted model, not a curated record.
UUUGAGUUUUGGCCUGAGGACACCAACCACCAUGUCAUCAUCAUCUGCACUGCCCUGAGAGUAGACAUGAAAGGAAAAGUAGUCCCUGAGACAGCUUGGACCCAACUCAUUAAGGGCCUUGAAGACUGCAUCUAGCUUUUUGGAGAAAGAAACUAACAUGGCAAACAAGUGGCCCAGUCUAUAACUGUUUCAGAUGCCCGCAAAAUUUACAGUGGUCUCACCAAUUUAUUCAUCCCCGUGUCACAGAAAUCUCAACGUAAGUAAUUCCAUUUCUUACAACUGCUGGUUCUAAAAUGAAAAACAUUCCAGCAUAGAUUGAAAUGACAAUUUUACUUGAGAAAAAUUCUAAAUUCUGCUUCAGUUUUGCUUGUGCACAUCAGAAUUUGACUCCAGAGCAUGUUCAGGUGCCACAAGGGCAAAACUGACCCUUGGCAGAUGCUGUGGGAAUGGUUUCCAUCACCACCAGGGCUGCGGUUGUUCCAAAAUCAUUGGUUUUUACUUAGGAUCGC